Bubalus bubalis (water buffalo) is the source of this 1448-nucleotide long non-coding RNA. RefSeq lists it as uncharacterized. The transcript has 3 exons. NCBI's taxonomy places the organism in Eukaryota, Metazoa, Chordata, Mammalia, Artiodactyla, Bovidae. The record is from RefSeq and is a predicted model, not a curated record.
AGAGAGAUCCAAUGAGUUCUUUUUUUUUUUUUCCUUUCCUCUAAGGGUCACAAAUUCGUGGAUUUAAAUUUAUGUUUCCUUAUUAUUUCAGAUAGUAAAGAAUCUGCCUACAAUGCAGAAGACCUGGGUUUGAUCCCUGGAUUGAGAAGAUCCCCCGGAGAAGGGAAUAGCUACCCACUCCAGUAUUCUUAGGACUUCCCUGGUGGCUCAAAUGCAAAAUCCUGGCUUCCAAAGGCAAGUGGAAGAAGAUAAGAUAAGCUGAUAAGCAAAGCUCUAACAAAACACCAGACAUUUAUUGAGUGAUCUGUAUGUACCCUGGCCCCAUCCAAUCCUCACAACCAGCCUAGGACCCAGGCACAGAGAGGCUGAGGAAGCUGCCUGGUCACACAGCUAGUUCACAGCAAAGCCAGGAUUCAGACCCAGAGCGUGGCUCCAGGGUGAGCCCCUCAACUCUUCCCUCCUUAACCACCUCCCUUUGCUUAAGAUAGAAGGCACUGGGGGCCCCAAAGAGAGGAGUGAUCAUAGAGCUGAGAAACUGAGCGGAAGGAGAGAUCACUUCCACAGUGGGCUAGGGACACUGGGAAGGUUUCUGUGAUGUUUUGGAUUCAGGGACAACACCUGCGCCAUGCCAGUGACAGGCGAGAUCCAUCACACCUGAGACACAGUGGACCACAUUCAGAAAGAUGGGAAGAUGGAGGCUUCCAGUGCAGACCUGUUUGGCCAGCUUUCAUGAUCUCGAGUGUCCCGUUUUGUAGCAAGCACCUUUGAAAGGAAGACAGGACAUUGGCCAGAACAUUUGCACGUGGCUUCAACAUGACCAUCCAGUUCCCAACUGUGAUGCUCUUAAAGGUCAUCGUUCGUAGCUCUUCGUACAUUACUUAACCAUGGAAUUUCACACACUAGAAUGGAACCUCCCUGAGGGCAGGGACCAGACUUAGCAAGGACAAGCUCAGUUCGUAUUAGAGGAGUAAUGAAGUUUCUCUGUCUCUCUACCACACUCUGGACUCUACAGGGUCAGGGCUUGUCUCCAGACCCCGGCAUCCAGCACAGGUUAAAACCCCACCCCUAGGUGUCUAAAGACCACUAAGCCCUGGCCGAAACAUAAAUGUGGAGGAGACAGAAACCCUGGGAGGAGGUCCUCCUGAAACAAACACCCCCAUUUCGGGGCCUGAUAUAUGUGAAUGAAAAUGGUGUUUAAUUGGCUAAAACCAGAGCUGUCAUCACCUAAUCAGAGAGCUUGAAAAUAGAUUUUCAGCACCUUCCGCUUGUGCUGGGGACAGUGGUGCAGUGGCUCCGGGAGUCCGGGGCUGCUGGAGACAGCAGCAGGCGUCCGUCUGUCUGGGGAGCAGCUGGACGUUUGGUUAUUCAAUCAGGGGAGUCCAAAGCAUCGGAGCGAGCCCAGGGAGGGGGGAGGCAAGGAAGCCUUCAUUUCUGGGAAAGCCAACAGC